Molecule: ribosomal RNA, 232 nt
Filed under: uncultured bacterium
Lineage: Bacteria
Description: partial 16S ribosomal RNA
Rfam family: Bacterial small subunit ribosomal RNA
Source: RNAcentral
GCGCAUGCAGGCGGCCUGUUAAGUCAGAUGUGAAAGCCCGGGGCUUAACCUCGGAAUUGCAUUUGAAACUGGCAGGCUAGAGUCUUGUAGAGGGGGUAGAAUUUCAGGUGUAGCGGUGAAAAUGCGUAGAGAUCUGAAGGAAUACCAGUGGCGAAGGCGGCCCCCCUGGACAAAGACUGACGCUCAGAUGCGAAAAGCGUGGGGGAGCAAACAGGAUUAGAUACCCUGGUAG